RNAcentral lists this ribosomal RNA (497 nucleotides) under uncultured bacterium. RNAcentral describes it as "partial 16S ribosomal RNA". It matches the Rfam family "Bacterial small subunit ribosomal RNA", at positions 28 to 507 of the family's 1533-position model. The record is from RNAcentral.
GACGAACGCUGGCGGCGUGCCUAAUACAUGCAAGUCGAACGCUGAAACUUGGUGCUUGCACCGAGCGGAUGAGUUGCGAACGGGUGAGUAACGCGUAGGUAACCUGCCUGGUAGCGGGGGAUAACUAUUGGAAACGAUAGCUAAUACCGCAUAAGAGUAGAUGUUGCAUGACAUUUGCUUAAAAGGUGCAAUUGCACCACUACCAGAUGGACCUGCGUUGUAUUAGCUAGUUGGUGGGGUAACGGCUCACCAAGGCGACGAUACAUAGCCGACCUGGGAGGGUGAUCGGCCACACUGGGACUGAGACACGGCCCAGACUCCUACGGGAGGCAGCAGUAGGGAAUCUUCGGCAAUGGACGGAAGUCUGACCGAGCAACGCCGCGUGAGUGAAGAAGGUUUUCGGAUCGUAAAGCUCUGUUGUAAGAGAAGAACGAGUGUGAGAGUGGAAAGUUCACACUGUGACGGUAUCUUACCAGAAAGGGACGGCUAACUACGUG